Molecule: ribosomal RNA, 788 nt
Filed under: uncultured bacterium
Lineage: Bacteria
Description: bacterial SSU rRNA
Rfam family: Bacterial small subunit ribosomal RNA
Source: RNAcentral
UCGAGGGGCAGCAUAGAAGUUUGCUUGCAAACUUCCGAUGGCGACCGGCGCACGGGUGAGUAACACGUAUCCAACCUGCCGAUAACUCGGGGAUAGCCUUUCGAAAGAAAGAUUAAUAUCCGAUAGCAUAUCAAGGUCGCAUGAUCUUGAUAUUAAAGAAUUUCGGUUAUCGAUGGGGAUGCGUUCCAUUAGUUAGUUGGCGGGGUAACGGCCCACCAAGACAACGAUGGAUAGGGGUUCUGAGAGGAAGGUCCCCCACAUUGGAACUGAGACACGGUCCAAACUCCUACGGGAGGCAGCAGUGAGGAAUAUUGGUCAAUGGACGAGAGUCUGAACCAGCCAAGUAGCGUGAAGGAUGACUGCCCUAUGGGUUGUAAACUUCUUUUAUAUGGGAAUAAAACAGGGUAUGGAUACCCUCUUGUAUGUACCAUAUGAAUAAGGAUCGGCUAACUCCGUGCCAGCAGCCGCGGUAAUACGGAGGAUCCGAGCGUUAUCCGGAUUUAUUGGGUUUAAAGGGAGCGUAGGUGGAUUGUUAAGUCAGUUGUGAAAGUUUGCGGCUCAACCGUAAAAUUGCAGUUGAAACUGGCAGUCUUGAGUACAGUAGAGGUGGGCGGAAUUCGUGGUGUAGCGGUGAAAUGCUUAGAUAUCACGAAGAACUCCGAUUGCGAAGGCAGCUCACUAGACUGCAACUGACACUGAUGCUCGAAAGUGUGGGUAUCAAACAGGAUUAGAUACCCUGGUAGUCCACACAGUAAACGAUGAAUACUCGCUGUUUGCGAUAUACAGUA